Molecule: long non-coding RNA, 515 nt
Organism: Mauremys reevesii (Reeves's turtle)
Lineage: Eukaryota; Metazoa; Chordata; Testudines; Geoemydidae
Exons: 3
Source: RefSeq, a predicted model, not a curated record
GAUCAGGCACUUACCUGGCUGCAGGAGACUGCUGGUUUAAAUUCUCCCUUUGCCAGAUGAGAUGAAGAGAUUUGAAGAGGCAUCUGUGACUUCUCAGAUACUAUGCUUCGCAUGGCUGGCAAACAAGGAACUCCUGGAAGAAGAUAGGAAAACAGAUGUCCCCCAAAUAUAAAAGAAACCAGCUUUUUUUGUCUUCCGAGCACUGCCUGAAAUGAUUGUCAAUUCAGUGUCACUCCACUUAUAUAAAAAAUGGUGUCAUUCCAUAGUGGUCCAUGCUGGUUUGCUGCAUGGAGGCUCUUCCUGCUCAGCAAAAGCUUAACUAUGAUAUUUAUCGGCAACAUGGACUUCAAUCAAAACGAACUUUAUGUAAAUUGAGAGAAUUACACAUUAUAUGCUGAUUAAAUAUGCAACAAUCAUCAAAUACAGGGCCUCUUGUUCCUAUGGAAGGGAGAGAUCUGGCUUAGCAGCUUGCUUGGCAGAGAUUUAAUGGGAUUCGGGCUCUGGGGAGCUCUUAG